Molecule: non-coding RNA, 30 nt
Filed under: Mus musculus (house mouse)
Lineage: Eukaryota; Metazoa; Chordata; Mammalia; Rodentia; Muridae
Source: RNAcentral
GCCCUGUCUUGGUUGUCAGAAACUGUGAUG